GAUGAAGAACGUAGCGAAAUGCGAUAAGUAAUGUGAAUUGCAGAAUUCAGUGAAUCAUCGAAUCUUUGAACGCACCUUGCGCCCUUUGGCCAUUCCGAAGGGCAUGCCUGUUUGAGUAUCAUGAACACCUCAACUCUUUAUGGUUUUCCAUGAUGAGCUUGGACUCUGGGGGUUUUGCUGGCUCACAGUCGGCUCCGCUAAAAUGAAUCAGCUUACCAGUGUUUGGUGGGUAUCAUGGGUGUGAUAACUAUCUACGCUUGUGGUUUUUCCACCAGGUAACCUUCAGCAGUGGAGGUUCGCUGGAGCUCAUAGAUGUCUCUCCUCAGUGAGGACAGCCCUUUGAAUGUUUGAUCUCAAAUCAGGUAGGACUACCCGCUGAACUUAAGCAUAUCAAUAAGCGGAGGA
Molecule: unclassified non-coding RNA, 405 nt
Filed under: soil metagenome
Description: partial contains 5.8S ribosomal RNA, internal transcribed spacer 2, and large subunit ribosomal RNA
Rfam family: 5.8S ribosomal RNA (bases 1-121)
Source: RNAcentral